CGGGAUACACCCUGUGCUCGCUUUGC
This 26-nucleotide microRNA is filed under the name Culex quinquefasciatus (southern house mosquito). RNAcentral describes it as "cqu-miR-317-5p". Its record names the gene cqu-miR-317-5p. The record is from miRBase by way of RNAcentral. Lineage: Eukaryota; Metazoa; Arthropoda; Insecta; Diptera; Culicidae.